UACGAAGGGGGCUAGCGUUGCUCGGAAUUACUGGGCGUAAAGGGCGCGUAGGUGGUUACAUAAGUGAGGUGUGAAAGCCCCGGGCUUAACCUGGGAACUGCAUCUUAUACUGUGUAGCUGGAGUGCGAUAGAGGGUAGUGGAAUUUCCGGUGUAGCGGUGAAAUGCGUAGAUAUCGGAAGGAACACCAGUGGCGAAGGCGGCUACCUGGAUUGACACUGACACUGAGGCGCGAAAGCGUGGGGAGCAAGCAGG
This 253-nucleotide ribosomal RNA is filed under the name uncultured bacterium. Its description in RNAcentral is "partial 16S ribosomal RNA". It matches the Rfam family "Bacterial small subunit ribosomal RNA", at positions 524 to 776 of the family's 1533-position model. The record is from RNAcentral.